UGAGUUGGGUAGAUGAUCGCGUUUCGAGAAAUCGGGAUGAGGAAAGUCCGGACUCCGCAGGGCGGGAUGCUGGGUAACGCCCAGGAGCGGCGACGCUAUGGAAAGUGCAACAGAGAGCAGACUACAACGCACCACGCGUUGUACAGGUGAAACGGUGCGGUAAAAGCGCACCAGUCCCGAUGGUGACAUCGGGAGCUUGGCAAACCCCAUCUGGAGCAAGGCUAAAUAGGAGGACAUUGCAGGCGCGCCCGCCUCGUCCUCGGGUAAAGCCGCUUGAGGUCGGUGGCAACAUCGAUCCCAGAUGAAUGACCAUCGCCCUGAUGAGCGAAAGCGAGUCGGGGAACAGAAUCCGGCUUAUUCCCAGCUCAGGCG
This 372-nucleotide RNase P RNA is filed under the name Candidatus Poribacteria bacterium. RNAcentral describes it as "RNase P RNA component class A". It matches the Rfam family "Bacterial RNase P class A". Rfam says of the family: Ribonuclease P (RNase P) is a ubiquitous endoribonuclease, found in archaea, bacteria and eukarya as well as chloroplasts and mitochondria. Its best characterised activity is the generation of mature 5'-ends of tRNAs by cleaving the 5'-leader elements of precursor-tRNAs. The record is from RNAcentral. Lineage: Bacteria; Candidatus Poribacteria.